AUGGUGCAUUAUCGUCUCACCAAGUCUAAGGAGGCUGAGGGCUCCUGGCAGAAGCAGCAGUGGAGAAAGACACAGAAGAUACUCCCACCUCACAGAGAAUCCUCUGAAGCAUGGCAGCAAGGGAUGCCUAAGGAAGGAGCUCUCCUCUGGCAAGAGAGAAGAGAAAAUUCCCCAAGACAAUGUCAUCUCUGUUCACUCUUCAGCAAGCAACAGGCCCAAGUCUCAUCCAUUCCAGGACUUAUUUUACGUGCCCUCAUUGCAAUUUGAUUAACAAUCAAUUACAAACUAAGUUUUUAUGUAGACUGAGGGCAUGGAAAUUUCAGGCCUCUACUUACAUGAAUUCUUUAUAGUCAAAUAUUUAUUUGCAGUAAGUAUUUGAGAGAAAGCCAAGGAAGCACACAUGUUCACAGAGCUUGCUGUCUACACUGCGUUUCAGCCUUAGUCAAGGAGAAACUAAGAUGCAAUUGCAUAGAGUUGUCCUAUCCACUUUCUUCCUUCUGAUUUCUAGAUUUAUAAAAUAGAAGGCCAGUUAACUGCACUUAAGGACCUAGGCUGCUCAUUUAUAAAAUACCAACUGUAAAAUUUCAUUCAGUCACCCUUUAUUGAACCCAACAACAUGCAACUGAGGUAUAACUUUUUUCUAGCGGAAGGUUACCUCCUCUAAAAAUAAGAAGUACUGUUUAAAAGAAAUCUCUCAUCUUCUUCAUUUAUUCCAUUGCAAUUUGCUUUCUGUAACAAAAGUAGACAACAGAGAGGCAAAUCAAAAUUAUUUGAAUAUACUUGUAAAUUUCAAAUAUAUUGCCCCUCAGCCUUCUUUUGCUAAGCUAUGUAGCCCAAAUUAUUUCAAGAUUUUCACUGUACCUACAGCCCAGCAGUGGCUUUUGUAGCUGUUGUCAUACCAUUUUCAUUCUGCAUUUUAGAGGCACACUAGACGUGAACAGUCUUGCAGUAUCAGUCCCAUUUCACUUUUUCCUCCUCAUCUUCACUGUUCCUCUAACAACAACGUCAGCCUUCCUUACCACAGCCCGAGGCAUGGAAAGAUACAGACCAACCCCUACGCUUUUGCAGACUCGCUGCUGCUUCAGGUUUCUCAUUAAAGGGACUGCCUACAGAGCCUGGGUCUGAACCAACAAGUUUAUAUUUGACUGCAUUAGCAAAAUGUGUGUUAACAGGCCUGCUGUACUAAAGCAUCCUGAUUUCUCCUUCCAUUUUCUAUGUUCUCAUCAUUGAUUAACACUCUGCCUAUCUUCCUAACAAAAUAUCACUGCUAUUUACAGUAUGAGAACAUUUGCAUCUAGAUCACUAAUGAAAAAACAGAAUAACAUAAGACUUGGUAAUAAUCUAGUACAUGGAAUAUGCUCAAAACAAUUCCAGUUGGUGAGGCUACCCUUUUGAUCCAGCUUUUAAUCCACGUGCUAUUUACUUUAAUGAUAUCAGUGUGCUAGUUUUAAAUCAGAAUAUUAUGUGGUACUCAUACUGAUAUUUUGCUGAUACUUUUUAAUGAAUCUGAUUUGAAUAAGAUUUUCUUAACAUUAUUUAUUUAUUUCAAAAUCAUGGUGACUGCCAUUAAAUAUAUUUGCUAUCAUCCUUUAAUGUUUUUUUUAUCAUUAAUACUCAUAUUUUCUCUUGCAUUCUUUGCAGAGGAUGAGAAAACAAUAGACGGAAUAAGCUACACUGGACUUUUACACUUAGCUUUUCAAAGUUUAAUACUUUUUCAGACUUCCAUUAUAUACUAGUUCCAUAAUUAUGAAGAGAUGCAUGAGUUCUUCUUAGGUGUAAAGAAUAUUUUACGCUAGUCAAGUAAAGGUCAGACAAGCCUGGAUUUUAAAUUCAUCUAGAAUGGCCUAUUUAGAACAAAGGAAAAAAAAAUCAAUUACUAACGUGCAUACUUUAUCCGCCAAUAAAUUGUAAGUCACUUUCCA
Numida meleagris (helmeted guineafowl) is the source of this 1922-nucleotide long non-coding RNA. The record is from Ensembl. Lineage: Eukaryota; Metazoa; Chordata; Aves; Galliformes; Numididae.